Molecule: ribosomal RNA, 252 nt
Filed under: uncultured bacterium
Lineage: Bacteria
Description: partial 16S ribosomal RNA
Rfam family: Bacterial small subunit ribosomal RNA
Source: RNAcentral
UACACUGGUGGCGACCGGCGCACGGGUGAGUAACACGUAUCCAACCUGCCGAUAACUCGGGGAUAGCCUUUCGAAAGAAAGAUUAAUACCCGAUGGCAUAAUAGAACCGCAUGGUUUGAUUAUUAAAGAAUUUCGGUUAUCGAUGGGGAUGCGUUCCAUUAGGCAGUUGGUGGGGUAACGGCCCACCAAACCUUCGAUGGAUAGGGGUUCUGAGAGGAAGGUCCCCCACAUUGGAACUGAGACACGGUCCAA